AACGAACGCUGGCGGCAUGCCUAACACAUGCAAGUCGAACGAGACCUUCGGGUCUAGUGGCGCACGGGUGCGUAACGCGUGGGAACCUGCCCUUAGGUUCGGAAUAACUCCCCGAAAGGGGUGCUAAUACCGGAUAAUGUCUUCGGACCAAAGAUUUAUCGCCUUUGGAUGGGCCCGCGUUGGAUUAGCUAGUUGGUAGGGUAAAAGCCUACCAAGGCGACGAUCCAUAGCUGGUCUGAGAGGAUGAUCAGCCACACUGGGACUGAGACACGGCCCAGACUCCUACGGGAGGCAGCAGUGGGGAAUAUUGGACAAUGGGCGAAAGCCUGAUUCAGCAAUGCCGCGUGAGUGAUGAAGGCCUUAGGGUUGUAAAGCUCUUUUACCCGGGAUGAUAAUGACAGUACCGGGAGAAUAAGCACCGGCUAACUCCGUG
RNAcentral lists this ribosomal RNA (433 nucleotides) under uncultured bacterium. RNAcentral describes it as "partial 16S ribosomal RNA". It matches the Rfam family "Bacterial small subunit ribosomal RNA", at positions 29 to 507 of the family's 1533-position model. The record is from RNAcentral.